Non-coding RNA from Musa acuminata subsp. malaccensis (wild Malaysian banana), 1756 nucleotides. The record is from RefSeq and is a predicted model, not a curated record. NCBI's taxonomy places the organism in Eukaryota, Viridiplantae, Streptophyta, Magnoliopsida, Zingiberales, Musaceae.
CUUUAUAUUAUUCCAUCACACGAUUCUCUUUCGCUGGAAACGGUGUUUCUUGAAUCCUCAGUUUGAUGUUUGGUUCUGUGGAUCCUCGUCAAGGAGAUUGAUCACCGGUUUUGGCGUUUCCUUUCGACACGGAUCGCAUAUAUGCUACCAACUUUGGGUGUGAUUAAGGCUUAUGAAUCCAAGAAAUAUUUUGGGCAUAUGUUCUCUGUUUUUCUUUUGGGAGGUGUCCACCAUCUUCUGCUAUUGGCGAAGGGUGCUCCCUUGGAUGGGGUUCAUGGAGGCCAAUGGCUUAGAUAGAACAACAAGAAGGGACUACAUAGCUCGAGAAGACAGUGAUGCAGAAUCACUAAAUGGUUUUGGUGAAUUUGAUCCAUGGACAGCUUGGGCCUAUAAGCCACGCACAAUUUCUUUACUACUCAUUGGCGCAUGUCUGUUAGUUUGGGCAAGCGGUGCACUUGAUCCUGAAAGAACAGAAUCUACUGAUGUUGUUACCUCAGUAAAGAGGGGCGUGUGGGCAAUGAUUGCAGUUUACCUAGCCUAUUCCUUGCUGCAAGCACCUUCAACGGUCCUUAUAAGGCCACACCCUGCCAUUUGGCGCUUGGUUCAUGGGAUGGCCGUGGUGUACCUUGCUGCCCUCACCUUUUUGCUUUUUCAGAAUCGUGAUGAUGCUCGGCGGUUCAUGAAAUUUCUCCAUCCCGAUCUAGGAGUUGAACUACCUGAAAGGUCUUAUGGAGCUGAUUGCCGUAUUUAUGUACCUGAGAAUCCUAAAAGCAGGUUUAACAAUGUUUAUGAGACAUUAUUUGAUGAGUUUGUACUUGCUCAUAUUCUUGGAUGGUGGGGGAAGGCAAUAAUGAUACGUAACCAGCCUCUUUUAUGGGUGUUGUCAGUAGGCUUCGAAUUGAUGGAGCUAACUUUUCGCCACAUGUUACCAAACUUUAAUGAGUGCUGGUGGGACAGUAUUGUUUUGGACAUCUUAAUCUGCAAUUGGUUUGGUAUCUGGGCAGGUAUGCGUACUGUUAGGUACUUCGAUGGAAAAACUUAUGAAUGGGUUGGCAUAAGCCGCCAGCCAAAUAUCAUUGGUGAAAAGAACAUUGGGCCAGUUUACACCUGCACGGUGGGACAAAGACGAAUGGCGUCCUCUGCUUGGGCCAUGGAGAUUCAUCCAAGUGCUGUUCCUUUGUGUUGUUUUUAUGACCGUGGAGCUCAACACCUUUUUUCUCAAGUUUUGUCUUUGGAUUCCACCUAGAAACCCUUUGGUUAUUUAUAGAUUGAUCCUGUGGUGGCUAAUUGCUAUACCAACUAUUCGUGAGUACAAUACCUACUUGCAAGACAGAAAACCUGUGAAGAAGGUCGGAGCAUUCUGUUGGCUUUCAUUAGCAAUAUGCAUUGUGGAACUUCUAAUCUGUGUCAAAUUUGGCCAUGGUCUCUUUCCCAAUCCAAUGCCUGCAUGGUUAAUAACAUUCUGGACAACAGUGGGCACAGCCUUGGUGAUUUUUCUUCUUGCAUGGUCUUGGCAGAUUCAUCUAACAGUGACGAAAAAGAGGUUAUGAUCAUCAUUUCGGAUUCUCUCUUCUAUUAAAUUAUUUUUCCUCUGUAAAUAUUCCUUACAUUUGUAAAUGGACCUAAUGCUUUAGACUGGAAAUCGGUCUGACUAUUAGAGGAUAUUUCUUUAUUUUUUUCCCCUUCUUAUUUACUAGGGCAAAUUAUGUGUUCGGUGCAAAUUCCUCCUCUGAUAUCAUUAUCUCGUUUUUCUUUU